This 2589-nucleotide long non-coding RNA is filed under the name Homo sapiens (human). RNAcentral describes it as "prostate cancer associated transcript 19". Lineage: Eukaryota; Metazoa; Chordata; Mammalia; Primates; Hominidae. The record is from RNAcentral.
AAAGUGUUAUUUGACUGGAGUGAGGUCUCAUGUCUGCUUAUGCGGUGGCUCGCUGCUCAGAACAGGGAGGAAGAGGGUAAUCUGGAAGAGUUUCCUGACCUACUCUGCUGCUGUGAUUAAACAACCACCAGGAAAUUUUGAUGACACUGUUCUCCUGAGCUCCUCCCUUUCCUCGGGGAAGAAAAGCAUUGAAACUACAAAAAUAAAGUGUUAUUUGGCUGGAGUGAGGUCUCAUGUCUGCUUAUGCGGUGGCUCGCUGCUCAGAACAGGGAACCAUUGGAGAUACUCAUUACUCUUUGAAGGCUUACAGUGGAAUGAAUUCAAAUACGACUUAUUUGAGGAAUUGAAGUUGACUUUAUGGAGCUGAUAAGAAUCUUCUUGGAGAAAAAAAGACUGGGUAUAUUUUCAAUAUGCUUUCCUUUUAAGGUCCCUCACCUGUGGAAAGUAAAGAAUGUCACUUUCUGACAGGCUCAGGAACCUCAAGUUAUGUAGGGAUCUCAAGAAGAUGGGGGAAUUCACCCAGUUCAUACAGGUGAAAUUGCUGUUGCAAAGAUUAUGAAUAUGAGAGAAGUCCAGCAUGGCUGACUUCAUCUCGUGUCUGGCCUCAGGCUGGCUGCCCUUGCUCACUCUUGGGCAUAGGCCAAGCUAGCCAUGGGAGGAAUUUAGUUUAUAGUUUAACUUUGAAGCACGGAUGAUAAUAGUCUCUCCCUAAAAUGAACCCCUUCCUUGCUCAGGGACUGAAACUACCUUUGUAUGACAAAUGAAAGCCCACAAGAUUAAGAUUAUGAGAGGGGCCUGAAUUCUGCUAAAAUGCAGGUGUAGCUGACUGAUAACAAGUCAUUGUCCCACAGCUUGCCUUUCUAUAAUCUCUUGCUUCUCAGGAGUCACAUGGCCAGAGGUCCUGAGAUUUCCAGUCCUGUGACCCCCACCCAGAGAUGGACUUAGUGCAUGAGGACCAUUUUCCACACCCCUAUGAUUUCAUCCUCAAACAAUCAGCAGCAACCAUUCCCUAGCCCCCUGCCUUCCAAAUUAUCCAUAAAAAUCCUAGCCUCUGAGUUAUUAGGGAGAUUGAUUAAUAAUCCCAGUCCUACCCCUUGGGUUGCUCUGAUUUAAUUAAACCUUCUCUACUGCAAUACCACGGACUCAGUAAAUUGGUUUUGUCUGUGCAAUGGGCAAGAAGAACAUGUUGCAUGGUUAUACAGGUACUACAAGCACAGUCUGAUGGCAAAUUAUUGGUUUUGCUUCCUGCCCUUGAUGUUUCUAAACAUCUAGUCCAAAAUUACUUGUGAAAGGUCCAGCAAAGCCAAUUUUAAAAGAGGCUAUAUGGCCAAUCACUAUUCUUUCUACACAUUAUUGCAAAUAAUCAGGCCACGGCUGGGCACGGUGGCUCAUGCCUGCAAUCCCAGCACUUUGGGAGGCUGAGGCAGGAUCACCUGAAAUCAGGAGUUCAAGACCAGCCUAGGCAACAUGAUAAAACCCUGUCUCUACUAAAAAUACAAAAUUAGCCAGGCAUGGUGGCAUGCACCUGUAAUCCCAGCUACUUGGGAGACUGAGGGAGGAGAAUCACUUGAACCUGGGAGGCAGAGAUUGCAGUGAGCUGAGAUCACACCACUGCACUCCAGCCUGGGCAAUAGAGUGAGACUUUGUCUCAAAUAAUAAUAAUAAUAAUCAGACCAAGUAUAAUGAAAUUAAAAUUUAUUUUGCAAAUAAAUUGGUCCUACUACAAUUUAUCCUUCAUAGAAAUGUGGAAACUGAAGAUAAAAAAAAUUAGGUUUCAGAAGAAAACUAUACUACACCUGUUAUUAGAUUCUAGCCCUAAACAUUGUUUUUGAGGUUUUUAUUAUUUACCUGCAAUUUGGUCUAAAUUCUGAAUUAUUUCCUGACUACAAGUAUCCAAGGAAUAAAUGGGUUUUCUUUUUCUUUAUGAUAGUUUUAGUUGGCUUCUAAUGCAACAACAAUUUUUAUUGUAAUCCUGUGUGCAUUCUAUUCCUACUAUUCAAAUUAUUAAUGUUAUAGAUCUUUCAUUGUAGUACUUCUGAAUUAACCAAAAUCACAGUAUUCUGAAGAUGAUUCUACAAAGCCUGCUGUUUCUACAAAGGCUGCUGAUGAUUUCUACAAAGCCUGCUGUAGUGUUGCUGUGGCCUCUGCUUAAAAAAGUAGAAAACACAUUGAUGCAGCAUGUUCACCCCAACCUCCCUGCCUAAAGGCUCAGGGACCAUCUUGGAAGAGGAAGGCGCGUGAGAUUGUAAGAGCCGAAUUAGGGGGAUGGAGUGUGGAGAAUAAGGACACUUCAUCUUGGAUGCUCACCUGCCAAAUUGACUUCUGAUGAAAGCCAGCUCCAGAAAUGUGCCUACAGUUACUACUUUCACCUAAACCCUGCCCUUAGUCAAAUCCUUCUCUUCUUCUAAGCAAUCAACUUCAAUUCCUUGUAUAACCCACAGUAUAAAAGGGCUUUUAUACCAUUCUAUCCUAUUGCAUGUAAGCCUUGGGUCUGGGAGGUAACAGUGUGGGAUUCCACCAUCUCAUCUCCCUGCCACCCAAACAUGCCUGCUCUUCUUUAAGCAAUAUUAAAUGUUUGUACUUCAGAAA